CGUGCCGAUGAGGCGUCGACUUCCCGGAGCUAACGCGUUAUGUCGACCGCGUGGGGAGUACGGCCCGCAAGGCUAAAACUCAAAUGAAUCGACGGGGGCCCGCACAAGCGGUGGAGCAUGUGGUUUAAUUCGAUGCAACGCGAAGAACCUUACGUACUCUUGACAUCCAGAGAACUUAGCAGAGAUGCUUUGGUGCCUUCGGGAACUCUGAGACAGGUGUUGCAUGGCUGUCGUCAGCUCGUGUUGUGAAAUGUUGGGUUAAGUCCCGCAACGAGCGCAACCCUUAUCCUUUGUUGCCAGCGGUUAGGCCGGGAACUCAAAGGAGACUGCCAGUGAUAAACUGAGGAAGGUGGGGAUGACGUCAAGUCAUCAUGGCCCUUAGGAGUAGGUCUACACACGUGCUGCAAGGGCGCAUUCACAGAGAAUCGACCUCGCGAGAGCAAGCGGCCCUCAUAAAGUGCGUUGUAGUCCGGAUUGGAGUGUGCAACUCGACUCCAUGAAGUCGGAAUCGCUAGUAAUCGUGGAUCAGAACGUCACGGUGAAUACGUUCCCGGACCUUGUACACCCCCCCCGUCACACCAUGGGAGUGGGUUGCAAAAGAAGUAGGUAGCUUAACCUUCGGGAGGCCGCAUCCCACUUCGAGAUUCAGGCCAGCGCGAAGCCGCGACAC
RNAcentral lists this ribosomal RNA (670 nucleotides) under Enterobacter hormaechei subsp. xiangfangensis. RNAcentral describes it as "bacterial SSU rRNA". It matches the Rfam family "Bacterial small subunit ribosomal RNA", at positions 821 to 1494 of the family's 1533-position model. Lineage: Bacteria; Pseudomonadati; Pseudomonadota; Gammaproteobacteria; Enterobacterales; Enterobacteriaceae. The record is from RNAcentral.